AAAUGAAUAGACGGGGGCCCGCACAAGCAGCGGAGCAUGUGGUUUAAUUCGAAGCAACGCGAAGAACCUUACCAAGGCUUGACAUCCUCUGACGCAUGUAGAAGUACAUGUUCCCUUCGGGGCAGAGUGACAGGUGGUGCAUGGUUGUCGUCAGCUCGUGUCGUGAGAUGUUGGGUUAAGUCCCGCAACGAGCGCAACCCUUAUUGCUAGUUGCCAGCACGUCAAGGUGGGAACUCUAGUGAGACUGCCGGGGACAACUCGGAGGAAGGUGGGGACGACGUCAAAUCAUCAUGCCCCUUAUGUCUUGGGCUACACACGUGCUACAAUGGCCGGUACAAAGGGCAGCGACCCCGCAAGGGUAAGCGAAUCUCAAAAAGCCGGUCCCAGUUCGGAUCGUGGGCUGCAACCCGCCCACGUGAAGUUGGAGUUGCUAGUAAUCGCGAAUCAGCAUGUCGCGGUGAAUGCGUUCCCGGGCCUUGUACACACCGCCCGU
Molecule: ribosomal RNA, 493 nt
Filed under: uncultured bacterium
Lineage: Bacteria
Description: bacterial SSU rRNA
Rfam family: Bacterial small subunit ribosomal RNA
Source: RNAcentral